UUAAACGUCCGUACCACGUUGAAUAGACCGGUUCUCGCCCAAACACCGAAGUUAAGCAACGUCGGGUGCGAUCAGUACUUCGAUGGGUGACCGCUUGGGAACACCGCGCGACGUUGGCU
This 119-nucleotide ribosomal RNA is filed under the name Melitaea cinxia (Glanville fritillary). Lineage: Eukaryota; Metazoa; Arthropoda; Insecta; Lepidoptera; Nymphalidae. The record is from RNAcentral.